This 765-nucleotide long non-coding RNA is filed under the name Mytilus galloprovincialis (Mediterranean mussel). The record is from RNAcentral. Lineage: Eukaryota; Metazoa; Mollusca; Bivalvia; Mytilida; Mytilidae.
AUUAAUUUUAAAAUUGAACAAACAAAAUCAAUUUUCGAUUGCAAAUAAAAUAAAAAAUUAUAACAAAUUUUAAUCAUGACUAGGUCUAAUAUAGUUUAACUUCACUAGCGGUGAUACAAACAAGAUGAGGCGACAUGUCAUGAUUUCGUACGUUUAUAAACUGGUGAAUUCUUUUACCCGUUUUAACCUUCACCCUUACAAAGAAUUGCCCGAAGCUCCUAUUUGUUUUAUUAAUUACGUUCAAGUUUAUCAUUUUGCUACCACCAGUACUUUUUUGUUGUAAUUUAAAAUAAAUGACGUUGCAAUCGUUCCACGUAAUGUGAUUGAUAAAUUUAUUCUGAUAUAUAAUUACUAUGGAUGUCAACUCGUUGAAGAAAAAUGUAUCGAGUACUAGUUUAUUUUAUCGUUUGAUUCACGAGUACUUAAUGUAAUGACUAUGACACAUUAAGUCGAAAGUGUUGGUCUAUGAAAUUGUUCACAUGUUGUCUUUGCCAGCUUAAAGGAUAUAUUCCGUGACAUCGUUUCCAAACAGAAAAUUUAGAAUAAACUCACGAAAAGUGCAAAUUAAAGUGAUUUCGAUUGUGGUUCACAAGAACAAUAGUUAUACAUGUACAUGUAAUAUGUCUAAGCAGAAAACCGAAUCGUUGAGUAUCAUUUUUGCUAUUCGUUACACAGUACUACAAUAAACAGACAUUCAAAUACUUGUUAACAUCCCUAGUAAAUGGGGAUUACAUAAAUAAUUUAAAUCAAAAAUAGAUUCAGAUG